UACACACUUUGUGUAUUAAAUAAGAAAAGAUUAAAUGAACAACAGAAGUAAAAAAGGUUACAGCGCUAAUGAGCCUGUCUUGUCUCCUCUGAACAAUCUGUGCUGGAGUUGGAAUAUAUUUCCUGUGGUUCAUCAGAAGAACUGGCAAGCAAACAAGGCUGACAGAUGUAGUUCAGACUUGUGAGGAUUUCCUGUUGCAAAAUUUUGGCAUUCACUAACAUUUCCUGGUGGUGUAGAAAAGCCAGAAGAGUAAUGGGUUGUUGUAAUGGUUUGGCCUGAAGAUUCUUCCUGUGGACCUAAGUGGAUGGUGAUUUGAAUUAUAUGCCCUGCAAGGUGAGAGCCAUAAAUCAGGUCUGAGCAGAAGUGAAAGUCUAAGUGAUUGUUAAUGUUUUGAAAUUAAGGUGCCAAACUUCGUUUCACGUCUUUGAGAUCUGGACAGGACAAAGAUACUUUCCCUGCUUUAGAAUAAGGAAAUAGUGAAAGAGGGAACUUUUGAACUGUAUUCUUCAGAAAUUCCCAGGAGGUGUGGUGAGUGCACUUCUUCCAAGACUGCUAAUGAAAAGCCAUAGUGUUCUGGAGGAGGUACAGAUGGCCUCUGAAGGAUGGCUGUAUGAUGCUUCAUUCAGUGGGAUUCCAACUCAUCAUGCCCAGCCUGCUACCUCAGAGACAGAAGCUGAUGUUUUAAAUAUGACUGUGGAGCUGAGUACCUUCUGGAGCAGUCACGCUGCAUCUUGGAUGAAUACCAAAGCUGCUGAGCAUUCAGCACUGCGUCAGUCUCCAAGGGAGCUAGAAAUGUAUGGCCCAGGAAGACCCUCAGCUCCAGAAUUCACCAGGAAUCAUAGCAUCUCUUUCAUCCCAAGCUAACUAAAACCUUUCCAUUAGAGCAGGUUUUUUCCUAAUCAAAUACCUCUGUGUCAAAAGACUGUUUGAGAAUUCAUGAUUUAUGUGUUUAAGGAGACUGAGGAAAGGGCUCUUCUGUUACACAUUCCAUUUCUUUACCCUGAACAACCGUGCCUUCCCCAAAUUCAUGCUUUGAUGUAGAUAAUAGAAAUUAAAUAAAUGUGGUAGAGAUAUUAU
Molecule: non-coding RNA, 1077 nt
Organism: Sturnus vulgaris (Common starling)
Lineage: Eukaryota; Metazoa; Chordata; Aves; Passeriformes; Sturnidae
Source: RefSeq, a predicted model, not a curated record